This 300-nucleotide ribosomal RNA is filed under the name uncultured Alphaproteobacteria bacterium. RNAcentral's name for it is "bacterial SSU rRNA". It matches the Rfam family "Bacterial small subunit ribosomal RNA", at positions 114 to 422 of the family's 1533-position model. Lineage: Bacteria; Pseudomonadati; Pseudomonadota; Alphaproteobacteria. The record is from RNAcentral.
CGCGUGGGAACCUGCCUUUUCUGCGGGAGUAACGGUUGGAAACGAACCGCUAAUACCGCAUACGCCCUACCGGGGAAAGGGUAACGCCGGACGAAAGAAGGGGCCCGGCCGUCUGAUUAGUUAGUUGGUGGGGUAACGGGCCUACCAAGGCGACGAUCAGUAGCUGGUCUGAGAGGAUGAUCAGCCACACUGGGACUGAGACACGGCCCAGACUCCUACGGGAGGCAGCAGUGGGGAAUAUUGGACAAUGGGGGCGAACCCUGAUCCAGCAAUGCCGCGUGUGUGAUGAAGGCCUUAGGG